AUUGAACGCUGGCGGCAUGCCUUACACAUGCAAGUCGAACGGCAGCACGGGUGCUUGCACCUGGUGGCGAGUGGCGAACGGGUGAGUAAUACAUCGGAACAUGUCCUGUAGUGGGGGAUAGCCCGGCGAAAGCCGGAUUAAUACCGCAUACGAUCUACGGAUGACAGCGGGGGACCUUCGGGCCUCGCGCUAUAGGGUUGGCCGAUGGCUGAUUAGCUAGUUGGUGGGGUAAAGGCCUACCAAGGCGACGAUCAGUAGCUGGUCUGAGAGGACGACCAGCCACACUGGGACUGAGACACGGCCCAGACUCCUACGGGAGGCAGCAGUGGGGAAUUUUGGACAAUGGGCGAAAGCCUGAUCCAGCAAUGCCGCGUGUGUGAAGAAGGCCUUCGGGUUGUAAAGCACUUUUGUCCGGAAAGAAAUCCUUGGCCCUAAUACGGUCGGGGGAUGACGGUACCGGAAGAAUAAGCACCGGCGAACUACGUG
RNAcentral lists this ribosomal RNA (486 nucleotides) under uncultured bacterium. RNAcentral's name for it is "partial 16S ribosomal RNA". It matches the Rfam family "Bacterial small subunit ribosomal RNA", at positions 30 to 507 of the family's 1533-position model. The record is from RNAcentral.